Molecule: ribosomal RNA, 253 nt
Filed under: uncultured bacterium
Lineage: Bacteria
Description: partial 16S ribosomal RNA
Rfam family: Bacterial small subunit ribosomal RNA
Source: RNAcentral
UACAGAGGGGGCAAGCGUUGUUCGGAUUCAUUGGGCGUAAAGGGUGCGUAGGCGGCGCGGUAAGUCGGGUGUGAAAUCUUGGAGCUUAACUCCGAAACUGCAUUCGAUACUGCCGUGCUUGAGUACUGGAGAGGAGACUGGAAUUUACGGUGUAGCGGUGAAAUGCGUAGAUAUCGUAAGGAAGACCAGUGGCGAAGGCGGGUCUCUGGACAGUUCCUGACGCUGAGGCACGAAGGUCAGGGGAGCAAACGGG